Molecule: ribosomal RNA, 117 nt
Filed under: Sinocyclocheilus rhinocerous
Lineage: Eukaryota; Metazoa; Chordata; Actinopteri; Cypriniformes; Cyprinidae
Source: RNAcentral
GCCAGCAGCCAUGUCACCUUGUAGCCCACGACUGGUUGCCCAUUGAAGCUAAGCAGGGCUGAGCCUGGUCAGUACCUGUAUGGGAGACCUCCUAAGAAAACUAGGUUGCUGCUGGAA